RNAcentral lists this unclassified non-coding RNA (338 nucleotides) under uncultured Mortierellales. RNAcentral describes it as "sequence contains 5.8S rRNA gene". The stretch from base 1 to 53 matches the Rfam family "5.8S ribosomal RNA", at positions 102 to 154 of the family's 154-position model. Lineage: Eukaryota; Fungi; Mortierellomycota; Mortierellomycetes; Mortierellales. The record is from RNAcentral.
GAACGCAUAUUGCGCUCUUUGGUAUUCCGAAGAGCAUGCUUGUUUGAGUAUCAGUAAACACCUCAAAGCUUUUGAUUUUUUUUAAAAGUUUUGGACUUGAGCAAUCCCAACACCAAUCUUUUUCAGAUCGGCGGCGGGUUGCUUGAAAUGCAGGUGCAGCUGGACAUUCUCCUGAGCUAAAAGCAUAUUUAUUUAGUCCCGUCAAACGGAUUAUUACUUUUGCUGCAGCUAACAUAAAGGAUAAUUGUCCUCUUUGCUGACUGAUGCAGGAUUUUACGACACUUUAUGUGUUGUUCAACUCGAUCUCAAAUCAAGUAAGACUACCCGCUGAACUUAAG